AGUGAACGCUGGCGGUAGGCCUAACACAUGCAAGUCGAACGGCAGCACAGUAAGAGCUUGCUCUUACGGGUGGCGAGUGGCGGACGGGUGAGGAAUACAUCGGAAUCUACUUUUUCGUGGGGGAUAACGUAGGGAAACUUACGCUAAUACCGCAUACGACCUACGGGUGAAAGCAGGGGAACUUCGGACCUUGCGCGAUUGAAUGAGCCGCUGUCGGAUUAGCUAGUUGGCGGGGUAAAGGCCCACCAAGGCGACGAUCCGUAGCUGGUCUGAGAGGAUGAUCAGCCACACUGGAACUGAGACACGGUCCAGACUCCUACGGGAGGCAGCAGUGGGGAAUAUUGGACAAUGGGCGCAAGCCUGAUCCAGCCAUACCGCGUGGGUGAAGAAGGCCUUCGGUUUGUAAAGCCCUUUUGUUGGGAAAGAAAAGCAGCAGGUUAAUACCCCGCUGUUCUGACGGUACCCAAAGAAUAAGCACCGGCUAACUUCGUG
Molecule: ribosomal RNA, 492 nt
Filed under: uncultured bacterium
Lineage: Bacteria
Description: partial 16S ribosomal RNA
Rfam family: Bacterial small subunit ribosomal RNA
Source: RNAcentral